UUUAUGAUUAAUGAUAUCUAGGGAACGACGUGAAACUCGUUUGGCAUAGGUGGAGGGACAGAAGGGAUCGCCUAAAGAAGCGAACUAGAUUUACUGACCUAAUAGGCUGCUGGUGGAUUACUUGGAAGAUCAGAAAUGACACAAUCUUUCGAAAUAUCGGUCCAAACCCCGAGCUAGCAGUUCGUAGACUCAAGCUUCUCGUGGAUGAGUGGUAUUAUCUACUUGCUUCGUAACGGUUUUUUUUUUUUUUUUUUUUUUCUUAAGCUUAGCUUUUUUGCCCCCGGAGCCUGGUUGUCCCACACUUGUAGCUUAAUUCACUAUUCCAAUGAAUGAAGCGGGUAGCGUGCUACCUUUUUCUCAAAAAAAAAAAAAAUGAUAUCUGUAUAUUUCUAAAUUAGGAGACAGAUAUACAUUUUAUUUAUUCAUCCAAA
RNAcentral lists this long non-coding RNA (431 nucleotides) under Ananas comosus (pineapple). Its description in RNAcentral is "long non-coding RNA (ACOM_LNC009818)". Lineage: Eukaryota; Viridiplantae; Streptophyta; Magnoliopsida; Poales; Bromeliaceae. The record is from RNAcentral.